AUGACGAUCUUAAGCUGGAACUGUCAGGGUUUGGGCCACCCCGGUACAGUUCGGGAGUUGGUGUGCCUAGUGCACACACAUCGCCCCUCUGUCGUGUUCAUCUCCAAGACACGGCAGUGUGAAGAGAGCGUCAAAAGAAUAAGAGCUAGAAUAGGACUUAAGAACUAUAUCACCCAUGAUGGGGUUGGAAAAGGUGCCGGCAUCGCCCUAUUUUGGGACGAUAAC
This 225-nucleotide ribosomal RNA is filed under the name Triticum aestivum (bread wheat). RNAcentral's name for it is "partial small subunit ribosomal RNA". The record is from RNAcentral. Lineage: Eukaryota; Viridiplantae; Streptophyta; Magnoliopsida; Poales; Poaceae.